This 75-nucleotide transfer RNA is filed under the name Thermoplasmatales archaeon. Its description in RNAcentral is "tRNA-Arg". It matches the Rfam family "tRNA". From Rfam's summary of the family: Transfer RNA (tRNA) molecules are approximately 80 nucleotides in length. Their secondary structure includes four short double-helical elements and three loops (D, anti-codon, and T loops). The record is from RNAcentral. Lineage: Archaea; Methanobacteriati; Thermoplasmatota; Thermoplasmata; Thermoplasmatales.
GGGCGUGUGGCCCAGCCAGGAUAGGGCGGCAGCCUCCUAAGCUGCAAGCCGCGGGUUCAAAUCCCGCCACGCCCG